UACGUAGGGUGCAAGCGUUAAUCGGAAUUAUUGGGCGUAAAGCGCGCGUAGGCGGCUACUUAAGUCGGAUGUGAAAGCCCUUGGCUCAACUGAGGAAGUGCACCCGAAACUGAGUGGCUUGAGUACUAAAGAGGGUCGCGGAAUUCCCGGUGUAGAGGUGAAAUUCGUAGAUAUCGGGAGGAACACCGGUGGCGAAGGCGGCGACCUGGGUAGAUACUGACGCUGAGGCGCGAAAGCGUGGGGAGCAAACAGG
Molecule: ribosomal RNA, 253 nt
Filed under: uncultured bacterium
Lineage: Bacteria
Description: partial 16S ribosomal RNA
Rfam family: Bacterial small subunit ribosomal RNA
Source: RNAcentral